This 467-nucleotide ribosomal RNA is filed under the name uncultured bacterium. Its description in RNAcentral is "partial 16S ribosomal RNA". It matches the Rfam family "Bacterial small subunit ribosomal RNA", at positions 28 to 506 of the family's 1533-position model. The record is from RNAcentral.
GACGAACGCUGGCGGCGUGCCUAACACAUGCAAGUCGAACGGAAAGGCCCUGCUUUUGUGGGGUGCUCGAGUGGCGAACGGGUGAGUAACACGUGAGUAACCUGUCCCUGACUUUGGGAUAACUUCAGGAAACUGGGGCUAAUACCGGAUAGGAGCUAUUGCCGCAUGGUGGGCGUUGGUAAGUUUCGGCGGUUGGGGAUGGACUCGCGGCUUAUGCGCUUGUUGGUGGGGUAGUGGCUUACCAAGGUUUUGACGGAUAGCCGGCCUGAGAGGGAGACCGGCCACAUAGAGACGGAGAUAGAGCCCGGACUCAUACGGGAGGGAGGAGGGAGGAGUAAUGCACAGAAAGCGGAGGCAUGAUGGAGCUACGCCGGGUGCGGGAUGGCGGCCUUCGGGUUGUAAGCCACUUUCGCCUAGGACGGAACGUAAGUAAGGGUAAUGGAUAAAAAGGCACCGGCAAAUUACGU